AGGGACUUAUGUUAAUGCUAGACAAAGAGCCUUCAAAGCUCUAAGUGGGGGUUAAAAUCCCUCAGCCCCUG
This 71-nucleotide transfer RNA is filed under the name Parupeneus porphyreus. RNAcentral's name for it is "tRNA-Trp". It matches the Rfam family "tRNA". From Rfam's summary of the family: Transfer RNA (tRNA) molecules are approximately 80 nucleotides in length. Lineage: Eukaryota; Metazoa; Chordata; Actinopteri; Syngnathiformes; Mullidae. RNAcentral also lists the same sequence under 1 other name. The record is from RNAcentral.